UGUUUAACAUUCCAUCUAUUUGUACUAUUAAAAAUUGGUUGCAUAUGAUAUGUCACGUGUACCUCAUAUUUACAUAGAAGAAUUGGUUUUUAAUGGUAAAAAUAAAUAAAACAUUUAACA
Gossypium hirsutum (cotton) is the source of this 120-nucleotide non-coding RNA. NCBI's taxonomy places the organism in Eukaryota, Viridiplantae, Streptophyta, Magnoliopsida, Malvales, Malvaceae. The record is from Rfam.